CCUACGGGAGGCAGCAGUGGGGGAUAUUGCACAAUGGGGGGAACCCUGAUGCAGCGACGCCGCGUGGGUGAAGGAGUGCUUCGGCAUGUAAAGCCCUAUCGGCAGGGAAGAAGCAAGACGGUACCUGACUAAGAAGCCCCGGCUAACUACGUGCCAGCAGCCGCGGUAAUACGUAGGGGGCGAGCGUUAUCCGGAUUCACUGGGUGUAAAGGGAGCGUAGACGGCCAUGCAAGCCAGGGGUGAAAGCCCGGGGCCCAACCCCGGGACUGCCCUUGGGAAUGUGCGGCUAGAGUGCGGGAGGGGCAGGCGGAAUUCCUGGUGUAGCGGUGAAAUGCGUAGAUAUCAGGAGGAACACCGGCGGCGAAGGCGGCCUGCUGGACUGCGACUGACGUUGAGGCUCGAAAGCGUGGGGAGCGAACAGGAUUAGAUACCCGGGUAGUC
Molecule: ribosomal RNA, 441 nt
Filed under: uncultured bacterium
Lineage: Bacteria
Description: partial 16S ribosomal RNA
Rfam family: Bacterial small subunit ribosomal RNA
Source: RNAcentral